GAUGAAGAACGCAGCGAAAUGCGAUAAGUAAUGUGAAUUGCAGAAUUCAGUGAAUCAUCGAAUCUUUGAACGCACAUUGCGCCCGCCAGUAUUCUGGCGGGCAUGCCUGUUCGAGCGUCAUUUCAACCAUCAAGCCCCAGGCUUGUUUUGGGGACCUGCGGCUGCCGCAGGCCCUGAAAACCAGUGGCGGGCUCGCUGUCACACCGGGCGUAGUAGAUUUUAUCUCGCUCAGGGCGUGCUGCGGGUUCCGGCCGUUAAAAAGCCUUUUUUACCCAAGGUUGACCUCGGAUCAGGUAGGAAGACCCGCUGAACUUAAGCAUAUCAAUAAGCGGAGGA
This 336-nucleotide unclassified non-coding RNA is filed under the name soil metagenome. RNAcentral's name for it is "partial contains 5.8S ribosomal RNA, internal transcribed spacer 2, and large subunit ribosomal RNA". The stretch from base 1 to 120 matches the Rfam family "5.8S ribosomal RNA", at positions 35 to 154 of the family's 154-position model. The record is from RNAcentral.